CCAGCCUCCCAAAGAGAACCACCAUAGUUAUCAUAAGUCUUACAAUUUGCUUGCUUCAGCUUUGUUUGGAUUUUUUUUUUUUUUGGCAAGUUCAUGUAAACCAUAUCUCAAGAUUCCACAUAUGAGUAAAACCAUCUAGUAGCUGUCUUUCAUCUCUUAUUUCACUAAGUAUCUUUACCUCCAGUUCCAUCCAUUUUGUCCUAAAGAACACAAUAUUAUCUUUUUUUAAUUACAGAGAAUAUGUAAUUGAUCCACAUGAUAUAUAUUCCAUAACCUAUUAGCCAGUUAUCUAAUGAGGGCAUCUAGACUGCUUCCACUCCUUGACUAUUACAAAUAGUCAAACUAAUGAAUAAUGCAGCUAUGAACAUAGAGGAGCAUAUAUCCCUUCUAAAUACUGCUUGAGUGUCCACUGGAUAAAUGCACAAGAAUGGUACUGCUGGAUCAUAAGAAACAACUCACUGCUUGUCUCAGACAUCAAACACAGUUAAACUAGGCAUUUGCUCAAGUUCUAGACACCAGAGAUUGAAACCCUUGAAGACAAACAGUUAUAUACAGAGAACAGAAAUGAGAGGGAUCCAAGGAAUAAAGUAUUUUCCUUUGGCUGAGAUCCGUGGACAUGACUUUUUGCUGGGCUGGUAAGAAGAGAAACAAGUUAAAGCAAGCAAGCACUGGUCACAUCAGCUGGCAGAGGGUUGGAUUGCCUGGAGUCUUGGGAUUCUUCUAGCUUGAACUCUGAUUCUGUGGUCUGUAAGAAAAUAAAGCCUAGUCUUCAUUUAAAAUAACCAUCCACUUCUUUCUCUGAAGGCUCUGUAAGCUACACCACAUCAAAGGUAAGGAACAGAAAGGAGAAGGAACAGAAAGAAAAAAAAAAAAAAAGGAACAGAAAAGAGAAGCUGAGAAAUCUCUCCCUGUCCAGCAUCAU
This is a long non-coding RNA of Erinaceus europaeus (western European hedgehog), 922 nucleotides long. RefSeq lists it as uncharacterized. The record is from RefSeq and is a predicted model, not a curated record. NCBI's taxonomy places the organism in Eukaryota, Metazoa, Chordata, Mammalia, Eulipotyphla, Erinaceidae. The transcript has 3 exons.